GACGAACGCUGGCGGCGUGCUUAACACAUGCAAGUCGAACGGAAAGGCCCUGCUUUUGUGGGGUGCUCGAGUGGCGAACGGGUGAGUAACACGUGAGUAACCUGCCCUUGACUUUGGGAUAACUUCAGGAAACUGGGGCUAAUACCGGAUAGGAGCUCCUGCUGCAUGGCGGGGGUUGGAAAGUUUCGGCGGUUGGGGAUGGACUCGCGGCUUAUCAGCUUGUUGGUGGGGUAGUGGCUUACCAAGGCUUUGACGGGUAGCUGGCCUGAGAGGGUGACCGGCCACAUUGGGACUGAGAUACGGCCCAGACUCCUACGGGAGGCAGCGGUGGGGAAUAUUGCACAAUGGGCGGAAGCCUGAUGCAGCAACGCCGCGUGCGGGAUGACGGCCUUCGGGUUGUAAACCGCUUUCGCCUGUGACGAAGCGUGAGUGACGGUAAUGGGUAAAGAAGCACCGGCUAACUACGUG
RNAcentral lists this ribosomal RNA (468 nucleotides) under uncultured bacterium. Its description in RNAcentral is "partial 16S ribosomal RNA". It matches the Rfam family "Bacterial small subunit ribosomal RNA", at positions 28 to 507 of the family's 1533-position model. The record is from RNAcentral.